UUCGGGAAACCGGAGCUAAUACCGGAUAAUAUAUUGAACCGCAUGGUUCAAUAGUGAAAGACGGUUUUGCUGUCACUUAUAGAUGGAUCCGCGCCGCAUUAGCUAGUUGGUAAGGUAACGGCUUACCAAGGCACGAUGCGUAGCCGACCUGAGAGGGUGAUCGGCCACACUGGAACUGAGACACGGUCCAG
This 191-nucleotide ribosomal RNA is filed under the name uncultured Staphylococcus sp. RNAcentral's name for it is "partial 16S ribosomal RNA". It matches the Rfam family "Bacterial small subunit ribosomal RNA", at positions 148 to 334 of the family's 1533-position model. The record is from RNAcentral. Lineage: Bacteria; Bacillati; Bacillota; Bacilli; Caryophanales; Staphylococcaceae.